Molecule: ribosomal RNA, 460 nt
Filed under: uncultured bacterium
Lineage: Bacteria
Description: partial 16S ribosomal RNA
Rfam family: Bacterial small subunit ribosomal RNA
Source: RNAcentral
CCUACGGGAGGCAGCAGUGAGGAAUAUUGGUCAAUGGGCGGGAGCCUGAACCAGCCAAGUCGCGUGAGGGAAGACGGUCCUAUGGAUUGUAAACCUCUUUAGGCGGGGAGCAAUGCCGGGCACGUGUGCCCGGAGGGAGAGUACCCGCAGAAUAAGCAUCGGCUAACUCCGUGCCAGCAGCCGCGGUAAUACGGGGGAUGCGAGCGUUAUCCGGAUUGAUUGGGUUAAAAGGGUGCGUAGGCGGAUUUUUAAGUCAGCGGUAAAAUGUCCGGGCUCAACCCGGGCCGGCCGUUGAAACUGGGGAUCUUGAGUGGGCGAGAAGUAUGCGGAAUGCGUGGUGUAGCGGUGAAAUGCAUAGAUAUCACGCAGAACUCCGAUUGCGAAGGCAGCAUACCGGCGCCCGACUGACGCUGAGGCACGAAAGCGUGGGGAUCGAACAGGAUUAGAUACCCGGGUAGUC